RNAcentral lists this transfer RNA (68 nucleotides) under Rhipidia chenwenyoungi. RNAcentral's name for it is "tRNA-Ser". The record is from RNAcentral. Lineage: Eukaryota; Metazoa; Arthropoda; Insecta; Diptera; Limoniidae.
AACUAAUGAGCUUGAUAUAAGCAUAUGUUUUGAAAACAUAAGAUAAAAAUAAAAAUUUUUAUUAGUUU